GCUCGGAGGGCGCUGCCCGCCGGCGGAAGUGUGACGGAGGGAGUGGGGCGCGCGCCGCCCGCGGGGAAUUCCCGGGGGCGCCGGCGGCUGGACGGAAAGCCCCCGCGGCGAAGUUUGCAAUGGAUUGGAAAUUUUGAACAUUUGGUCCUUCACCACAGAUAGUUUUAGAAGCACUGACUGAUUAAGGUAUAAAGGAAAGCACCACCUGGAUCAAGACCUAGGCCGUUUCCUUCUCAGCCCAUUAUCGUCCACCUACCAGGAACAGGAGGACAGCUGUCUCAGUGACCUCAAUGACCACAGCAGGACAACUGUCUCAGUGACCUCAGUGACCACAGCAGGACAACUGUCUCAGUGACCUCAGAUGGUCAAAGAUUGACUGGACCAUGGGGCAUCAACACUCCAACACUUUCGAUUCGCUCUGUGGGAGUGCUGACCCAUCUCCUGAAACCAGAAAAUGUAAGCAGAGAAUCGUAGGUCUUCACAGCAUCCUUCGAGGUGUGGAGGUGUGCAAGAAGUUUUAGCAAGAGAAGAAAAAUUUGAUCUACAGACUCAAAGAAAUCUGAUUGCAGAAUACACUUUGAAAUCAUGCAUUGUGGACUUAAUCUCUUUGCACAAACUCAAGAGUCCUCUAGCUAAUUCCUUUCCCAAUGAAGGAGCCAAUCAAUGUUCUUUCAGGGGAGAAAAUUACUAGAGAGCCUGUGGACCAUGACUUCCUAAAGCACCCAGCACAAUGCCUGGCUUGGCUGAGGAACUCGGGAACUGUGUGUUGAAUGAAUGUGAAAUGCAUAGUGGAAGAAGUUAUUUCAAAUAUCAUGGUGCACCUAGAAAUAUGUGAAUAAACACAGCAUCACCACAAAUAACUGUUUUAAACAGAAUGACGAAUAUUGAAUUUUUAUACAUCCUAUGUCCAUUAGGGGAAUAGAAGAAGCAUAGCAGGAGGAGCCAUCAGUGAGAGGGUGUGUUCUAUGUGCCGGCUUUCUUCACUCCCUCCCUCAACCAGCGUGCACUCAAGAUCAUCACUUCACCUGCUCUCAAGUCCUGCCCAGUGUUCUUUGGUUUGAACUACUGUCUUUCCCACACCUCGAAGUGGGCUGCUAGAUCCACUAUCUCUGCACAGCUCCCACGGAGACUUCUCUGGAGGCAUGCCACACAAACUUCGCUGGCUCCCUCCCUGUCCCAGGCUAACAGAGAACUGUGGAAAUGUCCCCACACUGCCCAGCCCUGUGCGAUGCCACACGUGGUCCAAGCUGCCUGGCCCCUUUGUCCAACAACUGCUACAAAGUGGGUAACGUGUUGGAACAAGUCUGGCGGGUUCCUCCCAGGAUGCAGACAGAGUAAGAAGUGAAGUCUCAAGGAUGCGUGUUUCACUUCCUCCCUGCCCCUCCCGACGCUGGGUCAUAGUCCAGCUUGGAGGCUUCGCACAGUCCAAGCCAGUUGGCUUCCCGAGAAAUCACAAAGCAAAUAGAAUUAGCUUGUAUAUUUACACUGAGUCAUCACUCAACAUGCAUUUAUGAAUGCCUCUCCACAUGCAAACCGAAGCAGUUACCUACCUGGGGGACACCGGAGACUCUGGCUGUGGGAGGAUUCACGAGAAGCUUAACAAUCCAGUUAGGGAGCUAGACAAGGUUGACAUCUUGGGCAGGAAGGAAACCUUCCCUGUACCGUCAGCUCAAGACUGACUUCUGCAAGAGAGCUAAAUAAACAUGGUGGACAAGGAGGCUGGGACCAUCUGCCUCUCUCUGGAGCAGCAUUGCCCCCUUGCUGCCACCAUGAACCAGAAUUGCUAUCUUUUUCUCACUGCACUUUUUGCUCCCAGUACAAAGCCACGUAUCCUACCCUCUUCCUUGCUCCUUUCUCACUCUCCUUCCCUCAGGCUCAUUGACUGUUUCAGUGGCAGCUUCCAGGAGAAAUGGAGCGCAUUGUUCAGCAAGGAGGAAACAAUAACCAUCUAGAAUCCUCAACAUUGAUUUGGAACCCACUUUAACAUGGUUUAAAUCAUGGCUAAACAAUAAACAAGGGGCAGAGACUGACGGAAAGAGAAAAGGGGCUCAUCUCGUGAGGCUGUGGAGACAAACCAGAAUCUACCGAGUGCACACUGAGCUCUGGGCUGGGUCCUGAGGAAAACAUACAAAACUUAAAACUAGUUUUUUGCCUUCAGGAAUGUAGAGUCUAGCUGGGGAGAAGAGGCAUGGUAAUCGUUUAUGAGACAUGAUGAGACAGUUUAUGGCUGUCACCAGGACAUCACUUCUCUUCCAUCUCCAUAGUAUAGAGCCCUCUUUCCUGACUCCCAUGGGACCUGGAAAUCCAUAUGCAGUCUCUCUUCCUGCCCAAGAGAGUAUGCUGGGAGCAGAAGACCACCAUGCCCGGGUGAGGGGAGUCAGGGCCAUCUACGGAUGCUGCCUCAGGCAGCGUGGCCUGUGGCAGCGGACUCUCUCCCUGUUCAGUUCACAGCCAGUUCCAGUGCCACAAAUGGGGCCCCACGCUUGGACACGUUGUGUGCAGAUUCUCGGUCUCAGAGUCCUGACCGCUCUUCCGUCUCUGCUCCCCCAGCAAUUUCCUCCCCAGGGUCUGGAAAUGUCCUCUCACAGAUCUUUAAAACCCACAAUUAUGACAUCUGUGUUCUCAGGAACAUGGAACCAUCUUCCUAUUCUCCUAAGGGUGGCUGCUUGAUGAUGAUUACUAUCUGAAGGACCACAAGGGGAUGUCCUGUCACAUCUUUUCUUAAAGGGAAGAAAAAUAGAGAAAGAAAGAAAACAAAAACACAAGAAUGGUCACUAUCAAGCAAGCGAAGAAAUAUGUUCUGAGCAGCAACAAAGUGGCAAACAUUUCCAUAUACCUUAUUCUGUUUGAUUCCCAUGGCAAAGGCCACAGAGUAGUUGUUGUUCUUCCCGUUUUAUUGAACAGAAAGCUGAGGCUCACGGGAGUUGAACAACUUGCUCCAAGUUGUGCAUUAAAUAGAGACAGUAUGGCACAUAUUUUCUGUUGCCCGGGCCAUUGUCCCUUCUACGGCACCACAGCUGCUCCUGGGCCAGAAGAGGAAGGAGUUCCUCUGGGUUGGAAUGUUCUGGGGGCAGUUUUGUGAGGAGAGUUAUUUGAACUGGCUCUUGACUGAAUUAUAGGCUUCGGCCAGACAGUGGAAGAAGGCAAGGCUAUUCCUGGACUGGGAGGACUGGCAUCUUGGAACCACAGGUUGGGAGAGUGGGCGGUGUGUUGGGAAGACGGUGUGUACACUGUUCUGGCUGCAGAGGAGGGUUCGUUCGUGUAAUGAAAUGGCGCCCAGCCAGAGCGAGGAGAACAAUGAAGCCUGCUUCUGCCACUGUUGUGACUUGGGAGCUUCGGGCCCCUCUGUGAAACGAGGGUCCACAGGGCUGACCUCCCUCACAGGCAGCCUGUGGCUCCGAAUCAUCAGUGACUGGGAAGUGGCGUGCUCCAUUGUCGAGGCAUGAUAUUAUAUCCACCAGCUACUCUGUGCAGUGAAUUUUUGUUCCACUGAAAUGAUUCUCUCAGUGUGAGCUCAAUGGCAACGGGCAUGAUGAUGGUUUUUCUGUGUUGCCAGAAACUAGGUCUGAAUUUCUUCCAGAGCCUCCUGCUCUAAAGCACCUCUUAUGAUUAAUUAACCUUUUGUGGAGUAACUAGGACAUCUGUGUGGGAUGAGAUGUACUUUGGUCAGACUUCAGUUUUCAGUUGUUCAGCAAGAGGAGAAUUAAUUAUAAGAGCUGAAUCUGAACAGAAGAUUGUUGGAGGAAAUCCAAAUGAAGCAAAACAUCGAAUUAUCAAUGAACAGGAAGGUUUUUUUUUUUUUAAUUGUUGUUAUUGUGGGAGUGAAUAAAAUGCUUAAUGCAAUACAAAUAAGAGGUAGUAACAACUUAAGAUGCCUGCUUUGAGUGUACACCUAAUGCAAGAAAUUUGAGAUAUUUGUGGUUUUGGAGAUAAAAUGCAAUGAACUAACCAAACUAGGCAAAUGGCAAACAGAGGCCAAGUUAGUGUUUAAAGUAAAUAUGCCUAUUCCCCUUUGAGGUAAUUGUUGGGUUGACUUUAACAAGGAUGUAUCUAGAAUCAUCUGGUGUUAUUACCACUGACAAACAACAACAAACACCUCUUGUCUAGAGAAGCAGGUUGGAUUAAGACACAAAGUAGGAGAUAAAAUGCAGGAAGCUAAAAACAGUGCGACGGUUUCCCAGUGCUCAGCUUUCUGAGGCGAAUCACCUCUGGUAUUUAGCUCACAUCUACAUGACACCGUCUCCCACAAAACCCUGAAGCCUGACCCAGCGGAGAUUCUAGCUUGACUGACUUAACUGUGAUGAGGGGUACCUUAGGGGGCAAUGUGGGAAAUCUCUACUCUCCAACAAAAUGAUCCCCAAUGUUGGUUGUCGCCCACAUUCACUGAUAACUUCUCUCCAAAUACUGUGUGAUGCUGUUUUGAUGAGGGAAUAUGAUUCCAGUUCAUGCUCGUAAAGACUGCCAGGCUUCCACUGGCAUGAAGAUGCUGUAUCCUUUCUUACCUAUUGCUCCUGCUGCUAUGAAAUAGUUUUCAUUCCUAGUUUCUUUCUCUCGACCUUGUGGCUUCUGCUGCAUCAUGUUAGUACUUGCUGCCCACGCUUUGUGGAUCUCUUGGUUUCUACAACUUUCUAUUUAAUAUUGUUGUUGGUGACAGUUCUUCAUGGGUCUCUUGCAUUUCUGCAUAUCUUGCAGGCAGAGGCAUUGACGGCCUUUGUUUUGGACCAUCUUUCCAUGGAUGUUUGUACAGUGAGCAGACUUGGGAGACAGUGACAGUGUCUCCCUCUGGAACAGAGGGAGGCUUUAUUUGCUGUUCAGUAUAACAGUGUCUCUCUUAGGGGCAAAGGUCGGGCAGGUUUGCUAGCAAGCCAUUAUAAAAGAUGUGGGUUUCCUAAGUUUGAGAUUCUUCAACUGUGAUGCAAACCCACUGCAUCACAUGGCUGCUCUGUGUCACUCCUUUGGGACCUACAGGGGUGAGGGACAAGGGGAACCAAGGCAAAUAUGAAGCCCACGCUACGUGCUGUGCUGUGAGUAAUGAGUCCUUUGUCUCUGACCCGCUUGUCUGCAUAUUCUGCCAGCAUCUGUGAAAGUGUGGCAGGCUAGAUUGUUAGCUUGCAAGGAAGGUGAGAUUUCUUCAUACUUCUUCACAUGUGUGUCCUACAUUCAAACUCCCUGAGAGGAUCUGACGGGGUGAGUCAGUCCCCAUCCAGGAUAGAGGCCCCUGUAGUGUUGAGCUCCUAUGCUGGACCACCUUGUAGGCCAGUUGAUGGAUGGCUGCCUCUGGAUCAGGUACUCCUGCCUGGACCCACCCUCUGUGGCCAACUUUUCCAGGUCACUUUGUUCACAUUUCCGGGCCUGUGAAUGAGGGCCAGGAACUCAUUAAGAGGGGCCAUGAGUUUGGCAAACCGUUUGAAGUUCUCAGAAGCAGACAUUGUAACUUGCACCUUUCAUAGGCUGUCCAGGGAAAUGUUGUUGAGAUAUAGUUAAUUCACCUCAACUCUCCUGCAUAUGCUAUUUGUGAACAAAGGUGAGUAUAUGCCUUUUUCUGCAACUUACCACUUCUCUGCCUAGAGAGGAAGCGUUUGGUAAAUCCUGUGUUCCUAAUACUGGGUGUUGGAGAUGAAUGCUCAGGUUCACUGUAGAGGUUUGCUCUUAGCGUUUAUUCCACCAUUGGAAGAGCAGCUAUAAGGAUGGCUGGGGUGACCUCCAUUACCAGGGUCAGGCAAGGACCCUGACUGGCCUAAAUCAAUUAGCCUCUUGUCUACUGUGAUUGAUGCAGAGGAGGGCCUGUGACUUGAGGGCAUUGCUCGGGAAGCUCUCUCUCUUUUUCCAGAUGACCUGGUAUGGGAAUGUGAACCCUAAACUCUAGCUUCCAUGUUUGUCACUGUCUUCAGUCAGAGUUCUCUAGGGCAACAUAACCAAUAGGAGAUACAUAUAUCCAUAUGUACAUGUGUGUAUCUCUCCAUAGAUGU
This is a long non-coding RNA of Diceros bicornis minor, 5969 nucleotides long. RefSeq lists it as uncharacterized. The record is from RefSeq and is a predicted model, not a curated record. Lineage: Eukaryota; Metazoa; Chordata; Mammalia; Perissodactyla; Rhinocerotidae. The transcript is spliced from 11 exons.